UGGGGAAUCUUCCGCAAUGGACGAAAGUCUGACGGAGCAACGCCGCGUGAGUGAAGACGGCCUUCGGGUUGUAAAGCUCUGUUAUUCGGGAAGAACGAUUCGUUUGUGAACAAUGAACGGAAGUGACGGUACCGAAAGAGAAAGCCACGGCUAACUACGUGCCAGCAGCCGCGGUAAUACGUAGGUGGCAAGCGUUGUCCGGAAUUAUUGGGCGUAAAGAGCGCGUAGGCGGUAUGGUAAGUCUGUCUUAGAAGUGCGGGGCUUAACCCCGUGAGGGGACAGAGACUGUCAUACUGGAGUCUCGGAGAGGAAAGCGUAAUUCCUAGUGUAGCGGUGAAAUGCGUAGAGAUUAGGAAGAACACCGGUGGCGAAGGCGGCUUUCUGGACGAGCACUGACGCUGAGGCGCGAAAGCGUGGGGAGCGAACAGG
This 429-nucleotide ribosomal RNA is filed under the name Fusobacteriota bacterium. RNAcentral's name for it is "Fusobacteria bacterium partial 16S ribosomal RNA". It matches the Rfam family "Bacterial small subunit ribosomal RNA", at positions 355 to 776 of the family's 1533-position model. The record is from RNAcentral. Lineage: Bacteria; Fusobacteriati; Fusobacteriota.